RNAcentral lists this ribosomal RNA (496 nucleotides) under uncultured bacterium. RNAcentral's name for it is "partial 16S ribosomal RNA". It matches the Rfam family "Bacterial small subunit ribosomal RNA", at positions 29 to 507 of the family's 1533-position model. The record is from RNAcentral.
AUGAACGCUGGCGGCGUGCCUAAUACAUGCCAGUCGAGCGCACAGACGAGGAGCUUGCUCCUCUGACGUUAGCGGCGGACGGGUGAGUAACACGUGGAUAACCUACCUAUAAGACUGGGAUAACUUCGGGAAACCGGAGCUAAUACCGGAUAAUAUAUUGAACCGCAUGGUUCAAUAGUGAAAGACGGUUUUGCUGUCACUUAUAGAUGGAUCCGCGCCGCAUUAGCUAGUUGGUAAGGUAACGGCUUACCAAGGCGACGAUGCGUAGCCGACCUGAGAGGGUGAUCGGCCACACUGGAACUCAGACACGGUCCAGACUCCUACGGGAGGCAGCAGUAGGGAAUCUUCCGCAAUGGGCGAAAGCCUGACGGAGCAACGCCGCGUGAGUGAUGAAGGUCUUCGGAUCGUAAAACUCUGUUAUUAGGGAAGAACAAAUGUGUAAGUAACUAUGCACGUCUUGACGGUACCUAAUCAGAAAGCCACGGCUAACUACGUG